UUUGAUCCUGGCUCAGAUUGAACGCUGGCGGCAGGCCUAACACAUGCAAGUCGAACGGUAACAUUUCUAGCUUGCUAGAAGAUGACGAGUGGCGGACGGGUGAGUAAUGCUUGGGAACUUGCCUUUGCGAGGGGGAUAACAGUUGGAAACGACUGCUAAUACCGCAUAAUGUCUACGGACCAAACGGGGCUUAGGCUCCGGCGCAAAGAGAGGCCCAAGUGAGAUUAGCUAGUUGGUAAGGUAACGGCUUACCAAGGCGACGAUCUCUAGCUGUUCUGAGAGGAAGAUCAGCCACACUGGGACUGAGACACGGCCCAGACUCCUACGGGAGGCAGCAGUGGGGAAUAUUGCACAAUGGGGGAAACCCUGAUGCAGCCAUGCCGCGUGUGUGAAGAAGGCCUUCGGGUUGUAAAGCACUUUCAGUUGUGAGGAAAAGUUAGUAGUUAAUACC
This 451-nucleotide ribosomal RNA is filed under the name LMWdDNA-degrading marine bacterium 18. RNAcentral's name for it is "bacterial SSU rRNA". It matches the Rfam family "Bacterial small subunit ribosomal RNA", at positions 12 to 468 of the family's 1533-position model. The record is from RNAcentral.